Molecule: ribosomal RNA, 468 nt
Filed under: uncultured bacterium
Lineage: Bacteria
Description: partial 16S ribosomal RNA
Rfam family: Bacterial small subunit ribosomal RNA
Source: RNAcentral
GACGAACGCUGGCGGCGCGCCUAACACAUGCAAGUCGAACGGAGCUGAGAGAAGCUUGCUUUUCUUAGCUUAGUGGCGAACGGGUGAGUAACGCGUGAGUAACCUGCCCUGGAGUGGGGGACAACAGUUGGAAACGACUGCUAAUACCGCAUAAGCCCACGAUCCGGCAUCGGAUUGAGGGAAAAGGAUUUAUUCGCUUCAGGAUGGACUCGCGUCCAAUUAGCUAGUUGGUGGGGUAACGGCCCACCAAGGCGACGAUUGGUAGCCGGACUGAGAGGUUGAACGGCCACAUUGGGACUGCGACACGGCCCAGACUCCUACGGGAGGCAGCAGUGGGGGAUAUUGCACAAUGGGGGAAACCCUGAUGCAGCGACGCCGCGUGGAGGAAGAAGGUUUUCGGAUUGUAAACUCCUGUCGUUAGGGACGAUAAUGACGGUACCUAACAAGAAAGCACCGGCUAACUACGUG